UAACGAACCUGGACAAUAUAUAUCAAUACAUCAUCACAGGCAUAUAACUCAACUGUAUAAAAAUCUGGUUCCCAUUCCAUCCAUGGUCAAACCCAUAUCCACAACAGGAUCUAUGACUGUAACUAUACACUAUAUACAACAGAAGGUUUAUAAUACACCAAAAGGGUAUAAACCUCUAUCUACAUUGUACUAUACUAUGGAGCGGCACAGCUAGCAGGCAACCACUAAUCCUGCUCCUCUCUAUACAAUACCUGCCCUGCAAUCAAAAAUAUCAAACUGGGGAGUGAGUAUAUGAAUACUCAGUGAGUGGAGUAGAGAGUACUAUGCACAUGAGACAGAAUAUAAUCAUGGCUCGAGAUGAAAUCUCAAGAUCAAUAACAAGAUGAACAUGAACUC
This 396-nucleotide long non-coding RNA is filed under the name Phoenix dactylifera (date palm). RNAcentral describes it as "long non-coding RNA (PDAC_LNC012786)". The record is from RNAcentral. Lineage: Eukaryota; Viridiplantae; Streptophyta; Magnoliopsida; Arecales; Arecaceae.